RNAcentral lists this long non-coding RNA (776 nucleotides) under Betta splendens (Siamese fighting fish). RNAcentral describes it as "lncRNA (ENSBSLG00000010807.1)". Lineage: Eukaryota; Metazoa; Chordata; Actinopteri; Anabantiformes; Osphronemidae. The record is from RNAcentral.
CAAACAAGCAAGCAACUAACCAAAUUAUAUUUUAACAAUUAAAUCAUUAAACAAUAAUUGAAGGGUGGAUGAGAAAUAAAGAUUUCCUACAUUUAGAACAGUCUUUAAGUACCUCACUAGUUCUUCUGCGACCUUAGUGGGCGGGGAAGCUGUCAGUCUUAUCAAAAUGACUACCAAGCAAUAGGGAGGCGGGACAACAACAGGACGUUAGUGGAGAGAGCGGGAAAUACGGGGAGAAGGUGGUUCUUGAGUGGAGAUAAGAAUUCUGACUUAGUGUCAUACUGUACCAGCUGCUUCUGCUACUGGGACCUACAGUACAGCUACUACAGAAGCCUGGACACAGACCUCAGGACGGGGCUGGACACAGGAUGGCUAACAGGACCUGAACUCCAGGUAAAAGUGUUAUUAGUACAGCAGCUGUAAACAUCUGCUCCGCUGUGGGUGGGAUGCCCAGCUGCACAGCUAGCCUACGCACAUCAGCAACUCCAUUUCCCAUCAUCCCCUGCAACCAGUCCGUCCUUCAUGCCUCUGCUCUGUGCCUCUCCAGAACCACUGCCUGCUGUUCAGCCAGUGUGUCCAGGAGCCAGUCUCCGUCGCUGUCCUGUUGAGAGGCUGAGUGGCACCAAGCAGAAGGUUAAUCUAAGGAGAUGUUCUCCCAUCAGCAUUGAGGAGGUAGGUUUCAUUCAGAUAUAUGGGUAAAGCAGAGCUCUGCUGCGUCUGUCACACUGUUUCUUACAUCUGCCUCGCACAGUCAGCAUCAGACUACAGGCCUGUCU